UACGUAGGGUGCGAGCGUUAAUCGGAAUUACUGGGCGUAAAGCGUGCGCAGGCGGCGCGUUAAGACAGAUGUGAAAGCCCCCGAGCUUAACUUGGGAAUUGCGCUUGUGACUGGCGUGCUGGAGUGUGGCAGAGGGAGGUGGAAUUCCACGUGUAGCAGUGAAAUGCGUAGAGAUGUGGAGGAACACCGAUGGCGAAGGCAGCCUCCUGGGCCAGCACUGACGCUCAUGCACGAAAGCGUGGGGAGCAAACAGG
This 254-nucleotide ribosomal RNA is filed under the name uncultured bacterium. RNAcentral describes it as "partial 16S ribosomal RNA". It matches the Rfam family "Bacterial small subunit ribosomal RNA", at positions 524 to 776 of the family's 1533-position model. The record is from RNAcentral.